GACGAACGCUGGCGGCGUGCUUAACACAUGCAAGUCGAACGGAAAGGCCCUGCUUUUGUGGGGUGCUCGAGUGGCGAACGGGUGAGUAACACGUGAGUAACCUGCCCUUGACUUUGGGAUAACUUCAGGAAACUGGGGCUAAUACCGGAUAGGAGCUCCUGCUGCAUGGUGGGGGUUGGAAAGUUUCGGCGGUUGGGGAUGGACUCGCGGCUUAUCAGUUUGUUGGUGGGAUAGUGGCUUACCAAGGCUUUGACGGGUAGCCGGCCUGAGAGGGUGACCGGCCUAAUUGGGACUGAGGUACAGCCCAGAUUGCUACGGGAGGCAGCGGUGGAGAAUAUUGCACAAAAGACGGAAGCCUGGUGCAGCAACGCCGAGUGCGGGAUGACGGCCUUCGGGUUGUAAACCGCUUUCGCCUGUGACGAAGCGUGGGUGACGGUAAUGGGUAAAGAAGCACCGGCUAACUACGUA
RNAcentral lists this ribosomal RNA (468 nucleotides) under uncultured bacterium. Its description in RNAcentral is "partial 16S ribosomal RNA". It matches the Rfam family "Bacterial small subunit ribosomal RNA", at positions 28 to 507 of the family's 1533-position model. The record is from RNAcentral.